Molecule: ribosomal RNA, 503 nt
Filed under: uncultured bacterium
Lineage: Bacteria
Description: partial 16S ribosomal RNA
Rfam family: Bacterial small subunit ribosomal RNA
Source: RNAcentral
AUUGAACGCUGGCGGCAGGCUUAACACAUGCAAGUCGAGCGGGGUGAUGGUGCUUGCACUAUCACUUAGCGGCGGACGGGUGAGUAAUGCUUAGGAAUCUGCCUAUUAGUGGGGGACAACAUCUCGAAAGGGAUGCUAAUACCGCAUACGUCCUACGGGAGAAAGCAGGGGAUCACUUGUGACCUUGCGCUAAUAGAUGAGCAUAAGUCGGAUUAGCUAGUUGGUGAGGUAAAGGCCUACCAAGGCGACGAUCUGUAGCGGGUCUGAGAGGAUGAUCCGCCACACUGGGACUGAGACACGGCACAGACUCCGACGGGAGGCAGCAGUGGGGAAUAUUGGACAAUGGGGGGAACCCUGAACCAGCCAUGCCGCGUGUGUGAAGAAGGCCUUAUGGUUGAAAAGCACUUUAAGCGAGGAUGAGGCUCUUUUGGUUAAUACCCAAGAUGAGUGGACGUUACUCGCAGAAUAAGCACCGGCUAACUCUGUGCCAGCCGCCGCGGUAA